CCUGGUGGUUACAGCGGAGCGGCUGCACCCGAUCCCAUUCCGAACUCGGCCGUGAAACGCUCCAGCGCCAAUGGUACUUCGUCUCAAGACGCGGGAGAGUAGGUCGCUGCCAGGU
Molecule: ribosomal RNA, 115 nt
Filed under: Escherichia coli
Lineage: Bacteria; Pseudomonadati; Pseudomonadota; Gammaproteobacteria; Enterobacterales; Enterobacteriaceae
Also listed under: 18 other names
Source: RNAcentral